Molecule: ribosomal RNA, 447 nt
Filed under: uncultured bacterium
Lineage: Bacteria
Description: bacterial SSU rRNA
Rfam family: Bacterial small subunit ribosomal RNA
Source: RNAcentral
UCCAGACUCCUACGGGAGGCAGCAGUGGGGAAUAUUGCACAAUGGGGGAAACCCUGAUGCAGCGACGCCGCGUGAGUGAAGAAGUAUUUCGGUAUGUAAAGCUCUAUCAGCAGGGAAGAAGAAAGACGGUACCUGACUAAGAAGCCCCGGCUAACUACGUGCCAGCAGCCGCGGUAAUACGUAGGGGGCAAGCGUUAUCCGGAUUUACUGGGUGUAAAGGGAGCGUAGACGGCUGUGCAAGUCUGAAGUGAAAGCCCAGGGCUCAACCCUGGGACUGCUUUGGAAACUGUGGAGCUAGAGUGCUGGAGAGGUAAGUGGAAUUCCUAGUGUAGCGGUGAAAUGCGUAGAUAUUAGGAGGAACACCAGUGGCGAAGGCGGCCUGCUGGACGAUGACUGACGUUGAGGCUCGAAAGCGUGGGGAGCAAACAGGAUUAGAUACCCCGGUAC